UGCCAGCAGCCGCGGUAAUACGAAGGGACCUAGCGUAGUUCGGAAUUACUGGGCUUAAAGAGUCCGUAGGCGGGAAUCUAAGUCAGUGGUGAAAUCUUGCAGCUCAACUGUAAAAUUGCCAUUGAUACUGGAUUUCUUGAAUUAGUGUGAAGUGGUUAGAAUGUGUAGUGUAGCGGUGAAAUGCAUAGAUAUUACACAGAAUACCAAUUGCGAAGGCAGAUCACUAACACUAUAUUGACGCUGAGGGACGAAAGCGUGGGGAGCGAACAGGAUUAGAUA
RNAcentral lists this ribosomal RNA (279 nucleotides) under uncultured bacterium. RNAcentral's name for it is "partial 16S ribosomal RNA". It matches the Rfam family "Bacterial small subunit ribosomal RNA", at positions 506 to 784 of the family's 1533-position model. The record is from RNAcentral.